GUAGGUGGCAAGCGUUGUCCGGGAAUUAUUGGGGCGUAAAGCGCGCGCAAGCGGUUCUUUAAGUCUGAUGUGAAAGCCCACGGGCUCAACCGUGGAGGGUCAUUGGAAACUGGAGAACUUGAGUACAGAAGAGGAAAGCGGAAUUCCACGUGUAGCGGUGAAAUGCGUAGAGAUGUGGAGGAACACCAGUGGCGAAGGCGGCUUUCUGGUCUGUAACUGACGCUGAGGCGCGAAAGCGUGGGGAGCAAACAGGAUUAGAUGCCCUGGUAGUCCACGCCGUAAACGAUGAGUGCUAAGUGUUAGGGGGUUUCCGCCCCUUAGUGCUGCAGCUAACGCAUUAAGCACUCCGCCUGGGGAGUACGGCCGCAAAGGCUG
This 375-nucleotide ribosomal RNA is filed under the name uncultured organism. Its description in RNAcentral is "partial 16S ribosomal RNA". It matches the Rfam family "Bacterial small subunit ribosomal RNA", at positions 527 to 896 of the family's 1533-position model. The record is from RNAcentral.